Long non-coding RNA from Cuculus canorus (common cuckoo), 2663 nucleotides. RefSeq lists it as uncharacterized. The record is from RefSeq and is a predicted model, not a curated record. The transcript has 4 exons. NCBI's taxonomy places the organism in Eukaryota, Metazoa, Chordata, Aves, Cuculiformes, Cuculidae.
CAUUCAGGAAGAAACAUGCACUUUAAAAGGGAGAUAUUUCUGUUAAUUGGAAAGGUUGCUCACUGUUUGCAAUAUCUGCUACUUCAAAUCAAUCACAGAUAUAGCUUCUUUAGUUUUCAUCAAGGUUAAGUAACUAAAUUUGGCAGGAGUGCCCUUGCCAUACCGAUCCAGACUAGCAGAAAGUAAAUGCCAGCUGCAUUUGCUAACAGAUACUUUAAAAUUUCACUGCAAAUAGUCUUAUUUGAGAUUAAUUAUAUCUCAUUAACUGCUCUGCUUAAAACUACCAGAAAGAUUUAUAGUACAGCAAAGAGAAAAUGCAUUAGAAUACAAACAAAGUAGUGAUUUUUGUAUAUCAGAUAAUCUGAGUCUAUGAAACUAAAUUCUGUAACUUAAUGCAUCUGUCGUAUGAAACUGUUCUCUAAAGAAGAAGAAGCACAAGACCAGCCAUAAACUCCAGAAAUUAAAUUGUGGGAUUCUCUAUAAAGAGCUGCCUAUAAAACACUGAUGAGUCUGUCAUAGAAGUAUCACUUUUGCCUUGGCAAAUACCCUUUUCACAAAGAGUAAACCACACUUCCAAAGCAGAGAUCACACCCUUACAUUUCCCUGUUAGAAUACUCCCUCUAUAGGCUUGAUUCUUUUUUCCUUAAGCCUAGGUCACAGCAAUAUUUCUAGACACACGCCUAGAGUUAUAAAACCAAUGUAAUAAAUAUGGAAGAAAUAAAAUAAUCAUACAUACUACAUUCCUAAGCAGCUUAAAAUCUCUGUGCUUGUAAGGACAGUACAAUUUGGAAUGCCAGUGGUUGCCCCUUGCUCUGAAUUUCUAACAUCUAAAUUUAUCAUAUGUCACAACACAGUACAAUUGGCAGUUAACCUUCAAGUUAUUUCCUUUUUGAUAGAAAUAAUCCAUGGCAGACAAUGAAAUACUUAGAUUUAAACUGAGUUCAGCUUGUAGAACAACGUAUCUCAGAAGAAUUGUCCAACACUAAGCACUUCUCAAAUGUGCUUUUAUAUCAGCUACUUUUUCAGUAACACACUUCUGGUUAUUCUUUGCACUACGAAUUUUCUCCGACAAACAAUGCAAACAUGAGUCUCAUUUCUGCUGAGCUUGAAGUGCCUGCAAUCAUCGUAACUAAAAUGUUCAGUUGGUUGUAUCACUUCUGCAAGCAAGCUCUUCCUCCUGCAAGAAUUACUAUUAGCUUCUGAGCUCUGCACAAAUCUCCAACAGACCACGACUUAAGAACCUUGGGUAAGAGCUCACCAAAUGCUAAUUGAAUUUUGCCAUUGGGUGUGAAAUUCAGGUUUCUCCUAAGUGUAAAUCUGAAUUUCUUAACACUGAAAUUUUAAUUUUCAUAACUCUAAAGAUGAAUUGUAGUCCUUCUUCACUUCCAUUACCAGUACCACUGUUUUCCUUAAUUAAGGGAGGAAUCAUCACGAAAAAAAGUGACAAAGGAUUUACCAAGGCUUUGAUACUACAGGCUUGCUUGUAUCAAAUAGAAAGUAAUAUUUGUAUCAGGGUAUGUAUUUCAGAAAUGUGAUACUGCUUGGCAAAGCUACUAACGGCAGAACUUGGCCAUUGCUAAAGCUUGGAAAUAAAGGCUAACAGCGAGACAUGAAUCCUUCAGAGGAAUUUAAGGAGAAGCUAGAAGCACAGGAUUAUCCCCAAUCCAUCCAUCUCCGAUCCUCGUAAGGGGUCCUCAUCUGACAGACCUUCGCAGAUAUUUCUGUUGGCUGUACGAAGAAUAGAGCGACCUGUGCACAGUCUACUAAACGAGACUGUGAAAUGCUGCACCAGUGCUGAAGUAAACUUCUGAACCUGCUCAGAACCAUAGAAAGCUAAGCAUGGACAUCUUAAAAAAGCUGAGACAUUGCUAUAACUACAGCUGAUUCUCUUCAGUUUUCUCAGAACUAUGGAUGGAUUUCUGGAGAAACUUCAUUGUGUUGUGAAACUUCAUAAUCUCGCUCUGUCUGAUAUAUAAGGGCCAGUGUCCUCACUUUCAUCCAUGAAGGGCCAAAACAUCUGACAACCAUAAGGCAACACGCUUUUCAAUUUCACUGGCCAUUUCCUUUGGAUCUCAGUACGUUUUGAGGAUUACAUUACUGGUAACUAGCUCAUGUUUGCUGUGUUGUGGCUGUUGCAGUGUUACUGAUCUGAAAACUUGCUUCUUCAAAAUAAUGAAGCAUAUAGCUAUCUUGGUUUACUUUUGCCAGUUCCCAUGGCAGCCUCUCAGCUCUAAAAAUGUGAUAGGCUGUCAGACUGUUGUGUAUCUGAUGUUUGGAACAGCUGGAUUUCCUCCUACCACUAUAUGUGAAUCAGAAACAACUACUAACAAAAGGAAGUUGACUGCCUUUCAAUACUAACCCCUGAUUAGCAUGUCAGUGAAUUAGCAAUGAAUGUCAUGGUAAAGGAUAAAUAGGCCAAAACUAGAUGUUUGUUUUAAUGACAUCAUUCCUAAAGCCAGGACUGAAAUAUUAUUUACUGUGGAAAAUUUCGUGACAAACACUCACAAUCUUAGGGAAUUUUCAUGCACAAAGUUCCUGUUCACUGUACCUCAAAACUUACUGGUUUUUGUUUGAUGCAUAAAAAAAGAAAACACUCCACUUGUGUAAAUAUCCAUCCCAAAUCAGAGUGAAGCAGAACCAAACCAAAUCCUGUCUGCCAUGAA